RNAcentral lists this unclassified non-coding RNA (290 nucleotides) under fungal sp. RNAcentral describes it as "partial internal transcribed spacer region". The stretch from base 1 to 46 matches the Rfam family "Eukaryotic small subunit ribosomal RNA", at positions 1786 to 1831 of the family's 1831-position model. Lineage: Eukaryota; Fungi. The record is from RNAcentral.
AAGUCGUAACAAGGUUUCCGUAGGUGAACCUGCGGAAGGAUCAUUAACACGUAUCCACGUUUAAAUCACCGCGAAUUUCUUAGGGUAGGCUUAUUUGAGAUGCCUUAUUCUCGACUUAGCGGUUGAGAUAGGGAUAUUGAAUAGGCUCCUAAGCUUUGACCCUUUCAGGAACAAAUCUUUAGUUUAGGGCUUUCAAUUCCCCAAUCAGGAACGCCUCCGAAGGCCGUCUCUUUGCAGACCGCUUUUAACCGAAUGCUGUACAACUCUUAGCAACGGAUAUCUUGGUUCUG